GCAUUGGUGGUCCAAUGGUAGAAUUCUCGCUUUCCAUGUGGGAGACCUGGGUUCAAUUUCUGGCCAAUGUA
Molecule: transfer RNA, 71 nt
Filed under: Loxodonta africana (African savanna elephant)
Lineage: Eukaryota; Metazoa; Chordata; Mammalia; Proboscidea; Elephantidae
Rfam family: tRNA
About the family: Transfer RNA (tRNA) molecules are approximately 80 nucleotides in length. Their secondary structure includes four short double-helical elements and three loops (D, anti-codon, and T loops). Further hydrogen bonds mediate the characteristic L-shaped molecular structure. tRNAs have two regions of fundamental functional importance: the anti-codon, which is responsible for specific mRNA codon recognition, and the 3' end, to which the tRNAs corresponding amino acid is attached (by aminoacyl-tRNA synthetases). tRNAs cope with the degeneracy of the genetic code in two manners: having more than one tRNA (with a specific anti-codon) for a particular amino acid; and 'wobble' base-pairing, i.e. permitting non-standard base-pairing at the 3rd anti-codon position.
Source: Rfam by way of RNAcentral